RNAcentral lists this ribosomal RNA (253 nucleotides) under uncultured bacterium. Its description in RNAcentral is "partial 16S ribosomal RNA". It matches the Rfam family "Bacterial small subunit ribosomal RNA", at positions 524 to 776 of the family's 1533-position model. The record is from RNAcentral.
UACGUAGGUGGCAAGCGUUGUCCGGAUUUACUGGGCGUAAAGAGCGCGCAGGCGGUCGAUUAAGUCGAGUGUGAAAGCCCCCGGCUCAACUGGGGAGGGUCACUUGAUACUGGUCGACUCGAAGGCAGGAGAGGGAAGUGGAAUUCCCGGUGUAGUGGUGAAAUGCGUAGAUAUCGGGAGGAACACCAGUGGCGAAGGCGACUUCCUGGCCUGUUCUUGACGCUGAGGCGCGAAAGCUAGGGGAGCAAACAGG